This 327-nucleotide ribosomal RNA is filed under the name uncultured bacterium. Its description in RNAcentral is "bacterial SSU rRNA". It matches the Rfam family "Bacterial small subunit ribosomal RNA", at positions 28 to 334 of the family's 1533-position model. The record is from RNAcentral.
GACGAACGCUGGCGGCGCGCCUAACACAUGCAAGUCGAACGGAGUUAUUUCAGCAGAAGCUUUCGGGUGGACGCAGGGAUAACUUAGUGGCGAACGGGUGAGUAACACGUGAGGAACCUGCCCUGGAGUGGGGGAUAACAGUUGGAAACGACUGCUAAUACCGCAUAAGCCCACAGCACCGCAUGGUGCAGCGGGAAAAGGAGCAAUCCGCUGAAGGGUGGCCUCGCGUCCGAUUAGCUAGAUGGCGGGGUAACGGCCCACCAUGGCGACGAUCGGUAGCCGGACUGAGAGGUUGAUCGGCCACAUUGGGACUGAGGCACGGCCCAG